RNAcentral lists this ribosomal RNA (1240 nucleotides) under metagenome. Its description in RNAcentral is "bacterial LSU rRNA". It matches the Rfam family "Bacterial large subunit ribosomal RNA", at positions 1564 to 2815 of the family's 2925-position model. The record is from RNAcentral.
UGAAUACGAGACGCUACGGCGUCGAAGCAGUCUAUGUCAUACUUCCAAGAAAAGCUCGCAAUGUCAUAAACAAAUAAUGCCUGUACCAUAACCGACACAGGUGGGUAGGUAGAGUAUACUAAGGGGCGCGAGAUAACUCUCUCUAAGGAACUCGCAAAAUGACUCCGUAACUUCGGGAGAAGGAGUGCCUUAUUUAUAAGGUUGCAAUAACAAGAUCCAAGCAACUGUUUAUCAAAAACACAGGUCUUCGCUAAGUCGUAAGACGAUGUAUGGGGGCUGACGCCUGCCCAGUGCCAGAAGGUUAAAGAAGUUGGUUAGCAUUCGCGAAGCUGAUAACUGAAGCCCUGGUGAACGGCGGCCGUAACGAUAACGGUCCUAAGGUAGCGAUAUUCCUUGUCGGGUAAGUUCCGACCCGCACGAAAGGCGUAAUGAUUUGGAUACUGUCUCGGAGAGGGGCUCGGUGAAGUAGACUUGUCUGUGAAGAUGCGGACUACCUGCACCUGGACAGAAAGACCCUAUGAAGCUUUACUGUAACUUGAAAUUGAAAUUGGACUUUAUUUGCGCAGCAUAGGUGGGAGGCGUUGAGAGUAUUCUUGCGGGAAUAUUGGAGCCAUCAGUGAGAUACCACUCUUGUAAUGUUAGAUUUCUAACUUUGUAUCAUUAUCUGGUCAAAGAACAGUUUCAGGCGGGCAGUUUGACUGGGGCGGUCGCCUCCCAAACGGUAACGGAGGCGUACAAAGGUUUCCUCUGAACGGGUAGAAAUCGUAUCUAGAGUGUAAAGGCAUAAGGAAGCUUGACUGUGAGACCUACAAGUCGAGCAGGGACGAAAGUCGGUCUUAGUGAUCUGACGGUGCUGAGUGGAAAGGCCGUCACUCAACGGAUAAAAGUUACUCUAGGAUAACAGGCUGAUCUCCCCCAAGAGUUCACAUCGACGGGGAGGUUUGGCACCUCGAUGUCGGCUCAUCGCAUCCUGGGGCGGUAGUACGUCCCAAGGGUUGGGCUGUUCGCCCAUGAAAGCGGUACGCGAGCUGGGUUCAGAACGUCGUGAGACAGUUCGGUCCAUAUCCGGUGUAGGCGUUAGAAUAUUGAGAGGAGCCUUCUUUAGUACGAGAGGACCGAGAAGGACAUACCUCUGGUGUACCAGUUAUCGUGCCAACGGUAAACGCUGGGUAGCUAUGUAUGGAGAGGAUAACCGCUGAAAGCAUCUAAGUGGGAAGCCCACCUCAAGAUAAGUAUUCUC